ACAGGCACUGGAAAUGUUUGGAGAUUACUGUGGGCAACUUGAUUCAGGGCUGUCUGGAAAAAGUAGUGGUUGGCCUAGAAGACAAACUGCCUUCCAACCGCAAUCCCUUACCAUGGCUGAUGCAGUGUGCUUGGUAAGCGGGUGCAUGGUGACCUCCGGAGAUAGCAGCCAGCAGCAAAACCACAGCUGGACCUGCAGUGAUCCAGCACAACAAAAAGGGCUGGCACUUUGGAUUGCAACAUUACUGAAACGAAAAGCGUGAACGCUACAGGAAUUUCUGCUCUCUGGAAAAAUGUUAUUUUUGGAUUCUUCAGGAAGGCGUGCAUAUAAAACCACUGGUUCCCUGGUAUUGUCACCAGGUAUCUGCUGCAGUCAAUGCUCCACCAGUCUCGUUCUCAUCUUGAUUUACGCUGGGAUAGCCUGAUGGGCCGUGGGAAGCCUUCUGCCGUUUCCAGACAACAGGACAGCUUUGCAUCCCUGUGCCAGGAGUCUCAGAGGCUGCACCAUCCCUGGACUGGCUGAAUGUGACUUCUCCUCCCCAUCUACUUCUCCAUCUUGCACUGAUAACCUCCUCAUGCAAGUCCAGGAGCCAAUCACUGUGCUCCCACUGCUGCAGGAUCUGUUGGAGGGGGGUCGUUCAUACUUGACCA
Long non-coding RNA from Falco peregrinus (peregrine falcon), 650 nucleotides. RefSeq lists it as uncharacterized. The transcript is spliced from 5 exons. NCBI's taxonomy places the organism in Eukaryota, Metazoa, Chordata, Aves, Falconiformes, Falconidae. The record is from RefSeq and is a predicted model, not a curated record.